GACAGAGGGUGCAAACGUUGCUCGGAAUUACUGGGCGUAAAGCGCGUGUAGGUGGUCUGGUAAGUCGGGUGUGAAAGCCCGGGGCUCAACCCCGGAAGUGCGCCCGGGACUGCCAGGCUGGAGUGCUGAAGAGGAGAGCGGAAUUCCCGGUGUAGAGGUGAAAUUCGUAGAUAUCGGGAGGAACACCUGUGGCGAAAGCGGCUCUCUGGGCAGCAACUGACACUGAGACGCGAAAGCGUGGGGAGCAAACAGG
Molecule: ribosomal RNA, 253 nt
Filed under: uncultured bacterium
Lineage: Bacteria
Description: partial 16S ribosomal RNA
Rfam family: Bacterial small subunit ribosomal RNA
Source: RNAcentral